RNAcentral lists this ribosomal RNA (253 nucleotides) under uncultured bacterium. RNAcentral describes it as "partial 16S ribosomal RNA". It matches the Rfam family "Bacterial small subunit ribosomal RNA", at positions 524 to 776 of the family's 1533-position model. The record is from RNAcentral.
UACGGAGGGUGCAAGCGUUAUCCGGAUUUACUGGGGUUAAAGGGUGCGUAGGCGGGCCAUUAAGUCAGUGGUGAAAGCUCCGAGCUUAACUCGGAAACUGCCAUUGAUACUAUUGGUCUUGAAUUCGGUCGAGGUUGGCGGAAUGUGUCGUGUAGCGGUGAAAUGCUUAGAUAUGACACAGAACACCGAUUGCGAAGGCAGCUAGCUAGACCGACAUUGACGCUGAGGCACGAAAGCGUGGGGAUCAAACAGG